UCAACAGCCCCUUCUGCUUGAUCUCCAGCCCAUCCAGGUACUCAGGUCGACUCCCCGCAGCUCACCGGUGCUUGUGCGCGCCUUGCUUACUCGUGUUUGCUGGCCCCUCGCCGGGAACGACGAUGCCCCGACGCGGCCGCCGCCAUUGCUCGCCGCCGGCCGUGUUCCGCCACUGCUCCUCGAGCACAUCACCCUCCAUCGUGUUCAGUAGCUUCUGUAGGUCACUUUGCACCGGUCCAUCCCCACCUCGGACCUCUGUGCAAAGCCCUUUUUGUUAUUUCAUGUGAUUAGUGCUGUUG
RNAcentral lists this long non-coding RNA (299 nucleotides) under Panicum hallii. RNAcentral's name for it is "long non-coding RNA (PHAL_LNC000756)". Lineage: Eukaryota; Viridiplantae; Streptophyta; Magnoliopsida; Poales; Poaceae. The record is from RNAcentral.